CCCGACGACAAUAGUGCAGUUGUCCCACCUGAUUCCAUACCGAACUCAGAAGUGAAAAGCUGUAACGUCGAUGGUAGUGUGGGG
Molecule: ribosomal RNA, 84 nt
Filed under: Glaesserella parasuis
Lineage: Bacteria; Pseudomonadati; Pseudomonadota; Gammaproteobacteria; Pasteurellales; Pasteurellaceae
Source: RNAcentral